RNAcentral lists this transfer RNA (77 nucleotides) under Holosporales bacterium. RNAcentral describes it as "tRNA-Arg". It matches the Rfam family "tRNA". Rfam says of the family: Transfer RNA (tRNA) molecules are approximately 80 nucleotides in length. Their secondary structure includes four short double-helical elements and three loops (D, anti-codon, and T loops). The record is from RNAcentral. Lineage: Bacteria; Pseudomonadati; Pseudomonadota; Alphaproteobacteria; Holosporales.
GCGCCCAUAGCCCAAUUGGAUAGAGCGUCAGACUACGGAUCUGAAGGUUGGGAGUUCGAGUCUUCCUGGGCGCGCCA